AGAGACUGAUCGGCCACAAUGGGANUGAGACACGGCCCAUACUCCUACGGGAGGCAGCAGUAGGGAAUCUUCCACAAUGGGCGCAAGCCUGAUGGAGCAACACCGCGUGAGUGAAGAAGGGUUUCGGCUCGUAAAGCUCUGUUGUUAAAGAAGAACACGUAUGAGAGUAACUGUUCAUACGUUGACGGUAUUUAACCAGAAAGUCACGGCUAACUACGUGCCAGCAGCCGCGGUAAUACGUAGGUGGCAAGCGUUAUCCGGAUUUAUUGGGCGUAAAGAGAGUGCAGGCGGUUUUCUAAGUCUGAUGUGAAAGCCUUCGGCUUAACCGGAGAAGUGCAUCGGAAACUGGAUAACUUGAGUGCAGAAGAGGGUAGUGGAACUCCAUGUGUAGCGGUGGAAUGCGUAGAUAUAUGGAAGAACACCAGUGGCGAAGGCGGCUACCUGGUCUGCAACUGACGCUGAGACUCGAAAGCAUGGGUAGCGAACAGGAUUAGAUACCCUGGUAGUCCAUGCCGUAAACGAUGAGUGCUAGGUGUUGGAGGGUUUCCGCCCUUCAGUGCCGGAGCUAACGCAUUAAGCACUCCGCCUGGGGAGUACGACCGCAAGGUUGAAACUCAAAGGAAUUGACGGGGGCCCGCACAAGCGGUGGAGCAUGUGGUUUAAUUCGAAGCUACGCGAAGAACCUUACCAGGUCUUGACAUCUUGCGCCAACCCUAGAGAUAGGGCGUUUCCUUCGGGAACGCAAUGACAGGUGGUGCAUGGUCGUCGUCAGCUCGUGUCGUGAGAUGUUGGGUUAAGUCCCGCAACGAGCGCAACCCUUGUUACUAGUACGUCAGAUCAUCAUGC
RNAcentral lists this ribosomal RNA (846 nucleotides) under Limosilactobacillus fermentum. RNAcentral describes it as "bacterial SSU rRNA". It matches the Rfam family "Bacterial small subunit ribosomal RNA", at positions 295 to 1198 of the family's 1533-position model. Lineage: Bacteria; Bacillati; Bacillota; Bacilli; Lactobacillales; Lactobacillaceae. The record is from RNAcentral.